RNAcentral lists this small nuclear RNA (305 nucleotides) under Sorex araneus (European shrew). Its description in RNAcentral is "7SK RNA (ENSSARG00000017775.1)". It matches the Rfam family "7SK RNA". Rfam says of the family: 7SK was discovered as an abundant small nuclear RNA in the mid-70s but a possible function has only recently been suggested. Two independent studies have found that 7SK RNA binds the CDK9/cyclin T complex (known as elongation factor P-TEFb). P-TEFb activates transcription by phosphorylating the C-terminal domain of RNA polymerase II. Lineage: Eukaryota; Metazoa; Chordata; Mammalia; Eulipotyphla; Soricidae. The record is from RNAcentral.
GGAUGUGAAGGCAAUGUGGCUGAGAAAUCUAGUGCCCCAGUGAUUAUCAGGGUUGAUUAGAACAAUCUGACUGGCUAGGUGAGGUCCCCUUCCUCCCUCAGUGUUCCAUGUCAUCUCUCUGAAUCUGCAUGCUCAGUCGAGGAGGAUGAACUUCCCUCUAAGAAGAAGGACCGUUCUUCGGUUGGGGAUAUAGAAGUAGCUGCGGUCCUCUGCUAGAACCUCCAAACAAGCAUUUUCAAGUUUAGAUUCAUGCAGAAUCAGAAUACUGCUUGGUUUAGCUACGGAGGUGUUAUAGGCUUUCCUCU